UGAUCAUAGGAUCAUCAUGAGGAUGGUGAUCGAUCUGGAUAGACUGACGCACAUAUCAUUUUCUUUAGGAUAGAUGGAUUUCUAGUCUACAAUAUAGAAACACUGGACGACGAGUGCGGAUAGUUGUUAGAGAAUAACUAGUACUGAACGUGACCAUACGAGAGAUCACUUGAUCAUCAUGAGGACAGUGAUCGAUCCGGAUAGACUGACGCAC
This 214-nucleotide long non-coding RNA is filed under the name Elaeis guineensis (African oil palm). RNAcentral's name for it is "long non-coding RNA (EGUI_LNC079079)". Lineage: Eukaryota; Viridiplantae; Streptophyta; Magnoliopsida; Arecales; Arecaceae. The record is from RNAcentral.